GGAUCCUUAGCUCAGAUGGUUAGAGCAUCUGACUCAUAAUCAGAGGGUCGCUGGUUCGAUCCCAGCAGGAUCCA
Flavisolibacter ginsengisoli DSM 18119 is the source of this 74-nucleotide non-coding RNA. NCBI's taxonomy places the organism in Bacteria, Pseudomonadati, Bacteroidota, Chitinophagia, Chitinophagales, Chitinophagaceae. The record is from Rfam.